GAUGAACGCUGGCGGCGUGCCUAAUACAUGCAAGUCGAGCGAACGGACGAGAAGCUUGCUUCUCUGAUGUUAGCGGCGGACGGGUGAGUAACACGUGGAUAACAUACCUAUAAGACUGGGAUAACUACGGGAAACCGGAGCUAAUACCGGAUGAUAUUUUGAACCGCAUGGUUCAAAAGUGAAAGACGGUCUUGCUGUCACUUAUAGAUGGAUCCGCGCUGCAUUAGCUAGUUGGUAAGGUAACGGCUUACCAAGGCAACGAUGCAUAGCCGACCUGAGAGGGUGAUCGGCCACACUGGAACUGAGACACGGUCCAGACUCCUACGGGAGGCAGCAGUAGGGAAUCUUCCGCAAUGGGCGAAAGCCUGACGGAGCAACGCCGCGUGAGUGAUGAAGGUCUUCGGAUCGUAAAACUCUGUUAUUAGGGAAGAACAUAUGUGUAAGUAACUGUGCACAUCUUGACGGUACCUAAUCAGAAAGCCACGGCUAACUACGUG
This 497-nucleotide ribosomal RNA is filed under the name uncultured bacterium. RNAcentral describes it as "partial 16S ribosomal RNA". It matches the Rfam family "Bacterial small subunit ribosomal RNA", at positions 28 to 507 of the family's 1533-position model. The record is from RNAcentral.